RNAcentral lists this small RNA (550 nucleotides) under Pongo abelii (Sumatran orangutan). RNAcentral's name for it is "processed transcript". The record is from RNAcentral. Lineage: Eukaryota; Metazoa; Chordata; Mammalia; Primates; Hominidae.
GUUCUUCUGGGUAACCAAGAGGAAGUUGGAGGUGCCGACGGGACCUGAAGUGCAGACCCCUAAGGUUUGGUCCUUGUUUUUCAAGGUGGCUGGGAUGAGCGCUUGGGCGCCUCAGGUGCCUGUAUAACCCACUCCUCCCUACCAAAGAGGGCAUCUUCCUACAACCUUCGGAUGCUGACUGGGACGACUUGUGGGACCAGUUUGAUGAGCGGCGGUAUCUGAAUGCCAAAAAGUGGCGCGUUGGUGACGACCCCUAUAAGCUGUAUGCUUUCAACCAGCGGGAGAGUGAGCGGAUCUCCAGCAAUCGGGCCGUCCCGGACACUCGCCAUCUGAGAUGUACGCUGCUGGUGUAUUGCACGGACCUUCCACCCACUAGCAUCAUCAUCACCUUCCACAACGAGGCCCGCUCCACGCUGCUCAGGACCAUCCGCAGCGUAUUAAACCGCACCCCUACUCAUCUGAUCCGGGAAAUCAUAUUAGUGGAUGACUUCAGCAAUGACCCUGAUGACUGUAAACAGCUCAUCAAGUUGCCCAAGGUGAAAUGCUUGCG